Melanotaenia boesemani (Boeseman's rainbowfish) is the source of this 181-nucleotide long non-coding RNA. RefSeq lists it as uncharacterized. The record is from RefSeq and is a predicted model, not a curated record. The transcript is spliced from 4 exons. Lineage: Eukaryota; Metazoa; Chordata; Actinopteri; Atheriniformes; Melanotaeniidae.
AGAAACCUGCCACCAAAGAUUAUCCAUGUGGUGUGGUCAUCUCGGCGGUGCCUCCUCAAGGAGGGUGCUUCUGUCCCCUGCAGUCGUCUGGCGUGUUGGGGCGAAGCUAGGGCGCGUUGUGUUGGGCGAGGACCGGUUGGAUCCAGGUACCAGAGGAGGAAGGGGAAAAGGAUGAAGAAGA